RNAcentral lists this transfer RNA (66 nucleotides) under Deielia phaon. RNAcentral describes it as "tRNA-Leu". The record is from RNAcentral. Lineage: Eukaryota; Metazoa; Arthropoda; Insecta; Odonata; Libellulidae.
UUUAAAUUGUGCAAAUCAAUUUAAUUUGAUAAUUAUAAUCUUACUAGCUUUUUUUUUUUUUUUUUU